AGUAAAAGCGAUUGGAAUCCUCAAAAACCUUACAAUUGCGAAGCUUCAAAUUCUGCCGGCAAAAAAGCAUCCCCUGUUGCUCCAGGUCCAAGAAAACCCACCCUGAGUUUGGUUCCUGUCACAACCCUAAAAAGUAAAUCUUUCAUGUGUGCUGUUGAAGAUUUCUACCCCCAAAACGACCUCUCGGUACAAUGGAAGAUAAAUGAUACAAAUUCCUUGAGUCCGCUAAAACUGGAGAGUAAAUCGAAUGAGCAAGGUUUUUAUAAUGGAUACAGUUUUUAUGAAGUCAGCAGUGAGAAUUUGGAUGUGAAUACUCAGUAUACCUGUGAGGUCACACACCAGGGAAAACAGUUUAACAGAUCAGCAUACUUCAAAGCUAAAUUUUCACUGACAAUGAAGCCACCAAUUCAGAAAGAACUAUUUGUUAAUGAUAAAAUUGUCUUGCAAGCUGUUGUUUCUGGAGAUGUAAAAAAAACAGUGCAAGAUACUUCAGUAUCAUGUAAAGUGAAGGAUGAGCUUGUGCCCAAUGGGAAUAUCACAACAGGGGAUGUUCAAUUAUCUCCUGAAACUUCACAAUUUAACAGAAUUCACGAUGUCAUCAUUAAUACAAAUAAAUGGUUUGAUGGUGAAGUGGUCACCUGCACCAUCCAUGACACAAAUAAUAACAGAGUCAUCGAGCAGAAGAUCAGUUUUCAAAAAGAUGGAAAAAAGCCCACUGUUACCAUUUACAAACCUGAUAACGUCAAAGAUCCGCUCUCUCAUGUGUGUGAGGUCACCAGCCCUAAACUCGGUGAUGUCUAUGUAAUGUGGAAAGUGGGUGAUGGUUCUUACAGAGAGGGCACAACUAGUGCUCCCAUCCAUCAAAAGGACUCAACGUCUGUUCUCAGCAUCCUAACAAUGACAAAAGAAGAGUAUAGCAAUGUCAUCACCUGCGCAGUCAUUCAUGCCAACAUGGACAAUAGAAGUUCUCCAUUACAAGUGUCAACAAGCAAAAGUGAGACACCUGAGCCAGACACAGGCUUUGCUCUGGACUGCAAUAAAGAUGUUCUUGAGGAGGAUGAGUUCAGAAGUCUCUGGUCCACUGCCACCUCAUUCAUCUUCCUCUUCCUCUUCUCUCUGACCUACAGCGCUGUGCUCAGCUUCUUCAAGGUGAAGCAGUGAUGAUUUGUU
This is a non-coding RNA of Carassius auratus (goldfish), 1170 nucleotides long. The record is from the annotation of a RefSeq genome assembly. NCBI's taxonomy places the organism in Eukaryota, Metazoa, Chordata, Actinopteri, Cypriniformes, Cyprinidae.